GUCAUUAUCAAGUCAGUACAACUCUCCUUGCUUUCCUCGUUGGGGAAUUUGCACAACCAAUUUCUGCUGAAGAUUUCACCAGUGGCACAAGUUCACAUCAAGAAGACACGAGGACAAUCUGUUGUGGGGAAAAGACAUGGGGACAAGCAGCUGAGAGGAAGAAGGCAUGUGGACAAGAUGUUGAGGCACAAGGCAUGGACACAAGCUGAUGUGACGAAGAAGCAUCGAGAGGACAAAAACGCAGAGGCGACAGUGCAGGAACGAAGAGAGCUACGACGAAGAGGAGUACUCGGCGGAGACUACCGACGAGCGACCACAGAGUAUAGCGAGGGAGGAAGCGACAAAUGGAGUACUGCAAUCCGUUUUGAGUAACGACUAGUGAGCACAGGGGCAUUGUCGUUG
Molecule: unclassified non-coding RNA, 402 nt
Filed under: Zea mays
Lineage: Eukaryota; Viridiplantae; Streptophyta; Magnoliopsida; Poales; Poaceae
Description: misc RNA Zm00001eb009720
Source: RNAcentral